This 2680-nucleotide long non-coding RNA is filed under the name Mus musculus (house mouse). RNAcentral describes it as "long non-coding RNA chrX:6443219-6445899". The record is from RNAcentral. Lineage: Eukaryota; Metazoa; Chordata; Mammalia; Rodentia; Muridae.
AGUACUUCCACAACCUACCUUGGGUUGUGGGGAGUGGACAUUACUCUACAUGGCCUCUGGUGUUUUUUGUUAUGCAAAGUUCUAUUCUCAAGUCCUAAGAUGGCCUUUUCUGAGAUUCAGGUGAAAUUCAUCACCUUUCAGACAUGUCAACAAGAACACUGUUAGUUGACAACAUUCUGAGACUGUAAGGAGGUCGAAAUGUUUGCUCUUGUGUAAAGUGUAGUUAGCAACAGGGACCCAGACCUCUAGCACCACAUAUCUUCUCUAAGAAUGUAGUUUUAAAAUUUUGAGACUGGGCAUCCAAGGAGACAGCUGAACUUCAUGUGGACACUGUGCACUUUAAAGGCCUCCAUCAGGCCAAAAGACAUUCUCUUCUAAACUUUGCCUUCUUGCCUUUUUGUUUGGAGGAGCUUAAUUUCCUCAUGCUUAGCUUUGAUAAUGUCACUUUUAGGUUAACUCCUUUUCCUUAGACUAUCCUUCAAGCUCAUUACCUAUGACUCAUUGUAACCUGUCUAUUGCUUUAGCUAAAAUAUAAUUAUUUACCAGAGUGGAAGUGUCUUUCACUGAAGCAGUAGGGUCCUCAGUUCUCUGAACUGUUACCUGGAAAAUGGGUACCUCCCUGAUAGGGAGGGCUAUUUUAAAUCUCAAGACAAUGUGUAUCAUUUAUUAGACAUGUGCUAUAUUAUCAAUAUCUGAUAAUAUCUUAAGUUAGUUACUGAAAUUAGCAUGUAAAGCAACAUUUAUUAAAUUUUUUUAAAUUUGUGAGUGGCUUAAGGAAAGGCCAAAAGGAAGAAUGUAUGCAGGUACUUAAGUAAUGGAACAUUUUUACCUUUAAGAUCAACUUCCCAGUGGGAAAUAGGGGAUCUGGGGAAUUCUAAAGACUUUGACCAUUAGAUUUGCUGUUUUGGUUCCAUAUUAAUCCUUACCUUUAACAGAUUUAUAGUUGUACAAAUUGUAUUAUAUAUAAAGCACUUACCUGGUGUCUUGUCACAGCCUUAGUGGCUGUGACAUUAACUACCUUUUUUUUUUUUUUGUAUUCAGAGUACUAACAGUAGUAGUAACAGUGGUACUUUAAGAUAUGGAACAGUACCUAACAUAGGACACACACACACACACACGGCAGAUUAUUAUUUACCAGACAUUGUGCAUUUUGGUGUGUGUGUGUUUGUGUGUGUGUGUGUGUGUGUGUGUGUGUGUGUGUGUGUGUGUGUAGCUUGUAAAGUUUAAGAAGGAAGAAUUUGGCCAUGUAUUUUCAAUCACCAUGUUUCUUGCAGUGUGCCAGUGAGCCUUUGGUCAGCAGACACAUUUUAUUGCAGAUUUUGCUCUCAGGUCAGUGUUACAGGAGAGAAGGCCUGUUGUACUACACCGCUGGAGACGAGAUUCCAUAGUGUAUGGAAUCUAUACUACACCGCUGGAGACGAGACUCCAUAGUGUAUGGAGGCAGGGAGGUGGCCUUACUCACCUUUGUGUUUCUGCAUUUCCUGGCACAUGAUGGGUAUGGGUACUUAGUGAGAGAAUGGAUGGCUAGAAGAAGAAAAGAGCUCAAUAAAACCGGGAGAAACCUUACAUACCUAACAGUGUUGUAAUGCGAUCAAUUUAAAAUUAAUUAAAAUAAUAGUACUUAAUACUUAAAAUAAUAAUAAUUAAUAAUUACUUAGUAAGUAUUGGUUUCGCUUGUGCCUGUAUAUCUCUGCUUCUUUUCAAAAUGAAUAUAGUUUUAUUUUUGAGAGAAGUAAUGUUUGUUGUUCUGAUAUAAACUGAGAUAAUUCAUGAAAAUUUAAAGGAAGUUGGCCACACCCCUAUUCCUUACAAUCAUAUUUAGUAGUAUGUAUCUAUUACAUACUUUACUCCUACAUGCAUACAUAUAUGUUAUAAAAUAACAAGAUAAUAUGAAGUACAUUGUUUUAUAGUUCAUGAUGUUUCACUUAACAGUGUAUUUCAGAAUAACUUUCUGGCUAAUUCUAUGCAAUCAUUUCAAGGAAUUCACAGUAGUGUCACAUUAUAAAUGCUAUAAUUGGCAUUUAACAUAAUCUAAUGUUUGGUUACUAUAAACAGUGCUUAAAUUACCAUUUGUAUACAUACAUAUUCAUAUACUUACUGGGUUGUCUUACUAGAAAAAAGUCGAAGGCUUAAUUGCUUCAAUUCUAAUGAAAUGCAUGCUUUUGGCACCAACCUGCCAAAAUGAAGAAACACUUGUUAAAGAGAAACAGUUGAUUUCCUUCUAGUUUUACAACUGGUCUUAUUAGAAAAUGGUUUUCCUUCAGCUGUUACCAUGGGUAUUUGAUGUUCUGUCUUCUUGCCUUGAUUACAAGCGGUUUGUGACUCUGACCAAAAUAAAGCCAUGGGCUUUCUAAUGUUAAUUCAUGGAUGGCUGAGCAGUGAGAAACAAUUGCUUUUAAAUAUGGCUGCUUCCAUGCAAAUGUUCAAACUUGUUUUCAAGCAACAUCAAAUUCUAGGGAAACUGAAGUAUCGGGUCUCUAGAGCUCCUUAUAGGCCUGAGUUGUGCUAAGCUGUAAGUGGCCACUGCUAAAUUGUAGGGUCAGAAACGACAAGUUAAACCUGUAUGACUGGCCACUUUCUUUCUGUGUGUACUAGUGGGAACAGUGUUGCAGAAUUUGAUUUAUUUGUGUGUGUGCGUGUGUGUGUGUGUGUGUGUGUGUGUGUGUGUGUGUGUGUGUGU